UACGAAGGUGGCAAGCGUUGUUCGGAUUUACUGGGCGUACAGGGAGCGUAGGCGGUUGGAUAAGCCCUCCGUGAAAUCUCCAGGCUUAACCUGGAAAGUGCAGAGGGGACUGUUCAGCUAGAGGAUGGGAGAGGAGCGCGGAAUUCCCGGUGUAGCGGUGAAAUGCGUAGAGAUCGGGAAGAACAUCAGUGGCGACGGCGGCCUGCUGGGCUGUUGCUGACGCUGAGGCGCGACAGCGUGGGGAGCAAACAGG
Molecule: ribosomal RNA, 253 nt
Filed under: uncultured bacterium
Lineage: Bacteria
Description: partial 16S ribosomal RNA
Rfam family: Bacterial small subunit ribosomal RNA
Source: RNAcentral